GAUCCAGAGUACCACGAGACACGAGAAACCUUGUGGGAAGCAGGGGGGACCACCCUCCAAGGCGAAACACUGAUAUGGACCGAUAGCGAAUAGUACCGUGAGGGAACGGUGAAAAGAACCCCGGGAGGGGAAUGAAAGAGAACCUGAAACCGUAUGUCUACAAGCAGUCGAAGCGCUUUAUAUGCGCGACGGCGUGCCUAUUGAAGAAUGAACCGGCGAGUUGCUGGUGCUAGCGAGGUUAAGCAGAAAAUGCGGAGCCGCAGCGAAAGCGAGUCUGAACAGGGCGUAUAGUUAGUAACAGCAGACCCGAAACCACAGUGAUCUACCCAUGUCCAGGUUGAAGCACAGGUAAAAAUGUGUGGAGGACCGAACCAGUGAGCGUUGAAAAGCUUUUGGAUGAGAUGUGGGUAGGGGUGAAAUGCCAAUCGAACGUGGAGAUAGCUGGUUCUCCCCGAAAUAGCUUUAGGGCUAGCCUCAUGGCGAGAGUACAGGCGGUAGAGCACUGAACAGGGUAGGGGCCUAUCCGGCUACUGAACCUAAUCAAACUACGAAUGGCUGUACUUAUCCAUGGGAGUCAGACUGUGAGUAAUAAGGCCCAUAGUCAAGAGGGAAACAGCCCAGACCAACAGCUAAGGUCCCCAAUGCCGUACUAAGUGGCGAAGGAUGUGGAAUUUCAAAAACAACCAGGAUGUUGGCUCAGAAGCAGCCACCAUUAAAAGAGUGCGUAAUAGCUCACUGGUCGAGAGACUCUGCGCCGAAGAUGUCCGGGGCUAAAGUACGGAACCGAAGCUUUGGCAAUUAACUUAUGUUAAUUGGGUAGGGGAGCGUUCCUGCAUGGGAGAAGCCUGACCGGAAGGACAGGUGGACAGGCAGGAAGAGAGAAUGCCGGUAUGAGUAGCGAAAAGAAGGGUGAGAAUCCCUUCCACCGAAAGCCUAAGGGUUCCUGGGCAACGAUCGUCGUCCCAGGGUAAGUCGGGACCUAAUCCGAGGCGGAGACGCGCAGGAGAUGGACAACAGGUUGAAAUUCCUGUACUGGCUGAUUUCGUUUGAGCAAUGGAGUGACACAGGAAGGAAGGCGCGCGUGCGAUUGGAAGAGCACGUCCAAGCAGGUAGGUGGGAAGAUAGGCAAAUCCGUCUUCCCGGAAGCUGAGAUGCGAUGGGGAGCGACUGGAAACAGUCGCGAAGGGGCUGGCACUAAACUGUCGAGAAAAGCUUCUAGUGAGGAAUCAGGCACCCGUACCGAAACCGACACAGGUAGGCAGGAUGAGAAUUCUAAGGUGCGCGGGAAAACCCUCGUUAAGGAACUCGGCAAAAUGUAUCCGUAACUUCGGGAAAAGGAUAACCCGGCGUACGUGAAGUGCAGAAGCGCACGGAGCGGAACCGGGUGGCAGAAGAGAGGCCCAAGCGACUGUUUACCACAAACACAGGCGUCUGCUAAAGCGAAAGCUGAUGUAUAGAUGCUGACACCUGCCCGGUGCUGGAAGGUUAAGAGGAAGUGUUAGCGCAAGCGAAGCAGUGAAUUGAAGCCCCAGUAAACGGCGGCCGUAACUAUAACGGUCCUAAGGUAGCGAAAUUCCUUGUCGGGUAAGUUCCGACCCGCACGAAAGGUGUAACGAUUUGGGCACUGUCUCAACGAGGGACCCGGUGAAAUUGAAGUACCUGUGAAGAUGCAGGUUACCCGCGACUGGACAGAAAGACCCCAUGGAGCUUUACUGUAACCUGAGAUUGGAUUCCGGUAAGAGAUGUACAGGAUAGUUGGGAGGCGGAGAAGCAAGUACGCCAGUAUUUGCCGAGCCGAUGGUGGGAUACCAACCUUGUUUUAUUGGAAUUCUAACGAGAAGUAACGACUUGCGGACAGUCUCAGGCGGGCAGUUUGACUGGGGCGGUCGCCUCCGAAAGAGUAACGGAGGCGCCCAAAGGUUCCCUCAGCGCGGACGGAAACCGCGCGAAGAGUGCAAAGGCAGAAGGGAGCUUGACUGCGAGACGGACAGGUCGAGCAGGGACGAAAGUCGGGCUUAGUGAUCCGGUGGUA
Molecule: ribosomal RNA, 2032 nt
Filed under: human gut metagenome
Description: bacterial LSU rRNA
Rfam family: Bacterial large subunit ribosomal RNA
Source: RNAcentral